RNAcentral lists this ribosomal RNA (301 nucleotides) under uncultured bacterium. RNAcentral describes it as "partial 16S ribosomal RNA". It matches the Rfam family "Bacterial small subunit ribosomal RNA", at positions 509 to 807 of the family's 1533-position model. The record is from RNAcentral.
CAGUAGCCGCGGUAACACGUAGGUGGCAAGCGUUGUCCGGAAUUAUUGGGCGUAAAGGGCUCGCAGGCGGUUUCUUAAGUCUGAUGUGAAAGCCCCCGGCUCAACCGGGGAGGGUCAUUGGAAACUGGGAAACUUGAGUGCAGAAGAGGAGAGUGGAAUUCCACGUGUAGCGGUGAAAUGCGUAGAGAUGUGGAGGAACACCAGUGGCGAAGGCGACUCUCUGGUCUGUAACUGACGCUGAGGAGCGAAAGCGUGGGGAGCGAACAGGAUUAGAUACCCCGGUAGUCCCUGUCUCUUAUAC